GCAAACUUGGUCAUUUAGAGGAAGUAAAAGUCGUAACAAGGUUUCCGUAGGUGAACCUGCGGAAGGAUCAUUACAGUUAUUAUAUUCUGCCAGCGCUUAAUUGCGCGGUGGGAAAUAAUCCUUACACACUGUGUUUUUUGUUAUUACAAGAACCAUUGCUUUGGCUUGGCUUAGAAAUAAGUUGGGCCGAAGGUAUACUAAAACUUCAAUUUUUUUAAUUGAAUUGUUAUUUAACUAAUAUUGUCAAUUUGUUUGAUUAAUUUCAAAAUAAUCUUCAAAACUUUCAACAACGGAUCUCUUGGUUCUCGCAUCGAUGAAGAACGCAGC
This 327-nucleotide unclassified non-coding RNA is filed under the name uncultured fungus. RNAcentral's name for it is "partial contains small subunit ribosomal RNA, internal transcribed spacer 1, and 5.8S ribosomal RNA". The stretch from base 1 to 73 matches the Rfam family "Eukaryotic small subunit ribosomal RNA", at positions 1759 to 1831 of the family's 1831-position model. The record is from RNAcentral. Lineage: Eukaryota; Fungi.